ACUUCAAAAAGCAGCAAGUCCUUAAGUGCCAAGCAUCAGAGGUUCCCCAAGCAGUUAACCCUUCGAGUAUCCCUAGUUUUUUGUGUUGAUCCGGUUCCCCUGCGAAGUGUUUGUUCUCUAGCAGAGUUCCGGUUCUUUUCCCCAAGCUAAGUUGGUUGAUUCAGUACCUUGCGGCGUGUUAUUUCCCCGACAGUGUUUCUAUAUUCCCCAACAGGGUUCACGUUUCUUCAGCAGAGUAAGAUGUUUUCCCCAUUAGAUCGCAUCGG
This 266-nucleotide long non-coding RNA is filed under the name Lathyrus oleraceus (garden pea). Its description in RNAcentral is "Pisum sativum (pea) long non-coding RNA (PSAT_LNC013751)". The record is from RNAcentral. Lineage: Eukaryota; Viridiplantae; Streptophyta; Magnoliopsida; Fabales; Fabaceae.